UCCUCGUUCAAAGGAUCGCAGUCGAAGCACACAAACGGAGCAGACCUCGUGUCUCUCAGCUCUUCAUGGGCUAGUCUAUGCUUUGGGAGAAAGUCCCCGGACGACCUUUACCUUGUAAAGGAACGCGGAAACGCGCCGCCAUAGAAGCACUGCGGCUUCUUUAUUUCUUCUCUUCUACCUAUUCUUGGGCCGGCCUUCGUCGUCGCUUGUACUCGCUUUCUGCGCUUUUGAUUGCCGCUGCUGGGUGAGGGGGAGACCAUAUGGAUGAAGAUAUGAGUCCGAGCUCUCCUGAUCUCAGCUGUGGUAGAGCAUAUGCAACGACUGCGGGGAGGCGGGGAAGUUACCCUCGGUCUGAGUUGGGGGUUCUAGGAGGGGGGAGGCUUUCGUCGAGAGUGAUAGUUAUGCGAUUGCCCUCCUGGGCUGGCCUCACGGUCGGUCUAGGGGUGUAACUCGAUGGGGCUUAUUCUUGAGACGAGG
Molecule: RNase MRP RNA, 477 nt
Filed under: Pseudogymnoascus sp. VKM F-3557
Lineage: Eukaryota; Fungi; Ascomycota; Leotiomycetes; Thelebolales; Thelebolaceae
Description: RNase MRP
Rfam family: RNase MRP
About the family: RNase MRP is an enzymatically active ribonucleoprotein with two distinct roles in eukaryotes. In mitochondria it plays a direct role in the initiation of mitochondrial DNA replication.
Source: Rfam by way of RNAcentral